Molecule: ribosomal RNA, 421 nt
Filed under: Pseudomonas sp. A28
Lineage: Bacteria; Pseudomonadati; Pseudomonadota; Gammaproteobacteria; Pseudomonadales; Pseudomonadaceae
Description: bacterial SSU rRNA
Rfam family: Bacterial small subunit ribosomal RNA
Source: RNAcentral
AGAGCGGCGGACGGGUGAGUAAUGCCUAGGAAUCUGCCUAGUGGUGGGGGAUAACGUUCGGAAACGGACGCUAAUACCGCAUACGUCCUACGGGAGAAAGCGGGGGACCUUAGGGCCUCGCGCCAUUAGAUGAGCCUAGGUCGGAUUAGCUAGUUGGUGAGGUAAUGGCUCACCAAGGCGACGAUCCGUAACUGGUCUGAGAGGAUGAUCAGUCACACUGGAACUGAGACACGGUCCAGACUCCUACGGGAGGCAGCAGUGGGGAAUAUUGGACAAUGGGCGAAAGCCUGAUCCAGCCAUGCCGCGUGUGUGAAGAAGGUCUUCGGAUUGUAAAGCACUUUAAGUUGGGAGGAAGGGUAGUAACUUAAUACGUUGCUACUUUGACGUUACCGACAGAAUAAGCACCGGCUAACUUCGUGCC